RNAcentral lists this ribosomal RNA (1442 nucleotides) under Lacticaseibacillus rhamnosus. RNAcentral describes it as "bacterial SSU rRNA". The record is from RNAcentral. Lineage: Bacteria; Bacillati; Bacillota; Bacilli; Lactobacillales; Lactobacillaceae.
UGCAGUCGAACGAGUUCUGAUUAUUGAAAGGUGCUUGCAUCUUGAUUUAAUUUUGAACGAGUGGCGGACGGGUGAGUAACACGUGGGUAACCUGCCCUUAAGUGGGGGAUAACAUUUGGAAACAGAUGCUAAUACCGCAUAAAUCCAAGAACCGCAUGGUUCUUGGCUGAAAGAUGGCGUAAGCUAUCGCUUUUGGAUGGACCCGCGGCGUAUUAGCUAGUUGGUGAGGUAACGGCUCACCAAGGCAAUGAUACGUAGCCGAACUGAGAGGUUGAUCGGCCACAUUGGGACUGAGACACGGCCCAAACUCCUACGGGAGGCAGCAGUAGGGAAUCUUCCACAAUGGACGCAAGUCUGAUGGAGCAACGCCGCGUGAGUGAAGAAGGCUUUCGGGUCGUAAAACUCUGUUGUUGGAGAAGAAUGGUCGGCAGAGUAACUGUUGUCGGCGUGACGGUAUCCAACCAGAAAGCCACGGCUAACUACGUGCCAGCAGCCGCGGUAAUACGUAGGUGGCAAGCGUUAUCCGGAUUUAUUGGGCGUAAAGCGAGCGCAGGCGGUUUUUUAAGUCUGAUGUGAAAGCCCUCGGCUUAACCGAGGAAGUGCAUCGGAAACUGGGRAAACUUGAGUGCAGAAGAGGACAGUGGAACUCCAUGUGUAGCGGUGAAAUGCGUAGAUAUAUGGAAGAACACCAGUGGCGAAGGCGGCUGUCUGGUCUGUAACUGACGCUGAGGCUCGAAAGCAUGGGUAGCGAACAGGAUUAGAUACCCUGGUAGUCCAUGCCGUAAACGAUGAAUGCUAGGUGUUGGAGGGUUUCCGCCCUUCAGUGCCGCAGCUAACGCAUUAAGCAUUCCGCCUGGGGAGUACGACCGCAAGGUUGAAACUCAAAGGAAUUGACGGGGGCCCGCACAAGCGGUGGAGCAUGUGGUUUAAUUCGAAGCAACGCGAAGAACCUUACCAGGUCUUGACAUCUUUUGAUCACCUGAGAGAUCAGGUUUCCCCUUCGGGGGCAAAAUGACAGGUGGUGCAUGGUUGUCGUCAGCUCGUGUCGUGAGAUGUUGGGUUAAGUCCCGCAACGAGCGCAACCCUUAUGACUAGUUGCCAGCAUUUAGUUGGGCACUCUAGUAAGACUGCCGGUGACAAACCGGAGGAAGGUGGGGAUGACGUCAAAUCAUCAUGCCCCUUAUGACCUGGGCUACACACGUGCUACAAUGGAUGGUACAACGAGUUGCGAGACCGCGAGGUCAAGCUAAUCUCUUAAAGCCAUUCUCAGUUCGGACUGUAGGCUGCAACUCGCCUACACGAAGUCGGAAUCGCUAGUAAUCGCGGAUCAGCACGCCGCGGUGAAUACGUUCCCGGGCCUUGUACACACCGCCCGUCACACCAUGAGAGUUUGUAACACCCGAAGCCGGUGGCGUAACCCUUUUAGGGAGCGAGCCGUCUAA